Non-coding RNA from Whalleya microplaca, 73 nucleotides. NCBI's taxonomy places the organism in Eukaryota, Fungi, Ascomycota, Sordariomycetes, Xylariales, Xylariaceae. The record is from the annotation of a GenBank genome assembly.
GGCCCGGUGGUGUAGUGGUUUAACACGCCCCAGCCCUGCUGGGGAGCCGCAGGUUCAAAUCCUGUCUGGGCCA